This 301-nucleotide ribosomal RNA is filed under the name uncultured bacterium. Its description in RNAcentral is "partial 16S ribosomal RNA". It matches the Rfam family "Bacterial small subunit ribosomal RNA", at positions 509 to 807 of the family's 1533-position model. The record is from RNAcentral.
CAGCCGCCACGGUAAUACGAAGGGUGCAAGCGUUACUCGGAAUUACUGGGCGUAAAGCGUGCGUAGGUGGUGGUUUAAGUCCGUUGUGAAAGCUUUGGGCUCAACCUGGGAAUUGCAGUGGAUACUGGGUCACUAGAGUGUGGUAGAGGAUAGUGGAAUUUCCGGUGUAGCAGUGAAAUGCGUAGAGAUCGGAAGGAACAUCUGUGGCGAAGGCGACUAUCUGGGCCAACACUGACACUGAGGCACGAAAGCGUGGGGAGCAAACAGGAUUAGAUACCCCCGUAGUCCCUGUCUCUUAUAC